This 460-nucleotide ribosomal RNA is filed under the name uncultured bacterium. Its description in RNAcentral is "partial 16S ribosomal RNA". It matches the Rfam family "Bacterial small subunit ribosomal RNA", at positions 338 to 795 of the family's 1533-position model. The record is from RNAcentral.
CCUACGGGAGGCAGCAGUGAGGAAUAUUGGUCAAUGGACGAGAGUCUGAACCAGCCAAGUAGCGUGAAGGAUGACUGCCCUAUGGGUUGUAAACUUCUUUUAUCUGGGAAUAAAAUGUUCCCCGUGUGGGAUUUUGUAUGUACCAUAUGAAUAAGGAUCGGCUAACUCCGUGCCAGCAGCCGCGGUAAUACGGAGGAUCCGAGCGUUAUCCGGAUUUAUUGGGUUUAAAGUGAGCGUAGGUGGAUUGUUAAGUCAGUUGUGAAAGUUUGCGGCUCAACCGUAAAAUUGCAGUUGAAACUGGCAGUCUUGAGUACAGUAGAGGUGGGCGGAAUUCGUGGUGUAGCGGUGAAAUGCUUAGAUAUCACGAAGAACUCCGAUUGCGAAGGCAGUUCACUGGACUGCAACUGACACUGAGGCUCGAAAGUGUGGGUAUCAAACAGGAUUAGAUACCCUUGUAGUC